Molecule: ribosomal RNA, 2733 nt
Filed under: Escherichia coli O157:H7 str. EC4401
Lineage: Bacteria; Pseudomonadati; Pseudomonadota; Gammaproteobacteria; Enterobacterales; Enterobacteriaceae
Description: bacterial LSU rRNA
Rfam family: Bacterial large subunit ribosomal RNA
Source: RNAcentral
AUGAGGCGAACCGGGGGAACUGAAACAUCUAAGUACCCCGAGGAAAAGAAAUCAACCGAGAUUCCCCCAGUAGCGGCGAGCGAACGGGGAGGAGCCCAGAGCCUGAAUCAGUGUGUGUGUUAGUGGAAGCGUCUGGAAAGGCGCGCGAUACAGGGUGACAGCCCCGUACACAAAAAUGCACAUGCUGUGAGCUCGAUGAGUAGGGCGGGACACGUGGUAUCCUGUCUGAAUAUGGGGGGACCAUCCUCCAAGGCUAAAUACUCCUGACUGACCGAUAGUGAACCAGUACCGUGAGGGAAAGGCGAAAAGAACCCCGGCGAGGGGAGUGAAAAAGAACCUGAAACCGUGUACGUACAAGCAGUGGGAGCACAGAGCAAUCUGUGUGACUGCGUACCUUUUGUAUAAUGGGUCAGCGACUUAUAUUCUGUAGCAAGGUUAACCGAAUAGGGGAGCCGAAGGGAAACCGAGUCUUAACUGGGCGUUAAGUUGCAGGGUAUAGACCCGAAACCCGGUGAUCUAGCCAUGGGCAGGUUGAAGGUUGGGUAACACUAACUGGAGGACCGAACCGACUAAUGUUGAAAAAUUAGCGGAUGACUUGUGGCUGGGGGUGAAAGGCCAAUCAAACCGGGAGAUAGCUGGUUCUCCCCGAAAGCUAUUUAGGUAGCGCCUCGUGAAUUCAUCUCCGGGGGUAGAGCACUGUUUCGGCAAGGGGGUCAUCCCGACUUACCAACCCGAUGCAAACUGCGAAUACCGGAGAAUGUUAUCACGGGAGACACACGGCGGGUGCUAACGUCCGUCGUGAAGAGGGAAACAACCCAGACCGCCAGCUAAGGUCCCAAAGUCAUGGUUAAGUGGGAAACGAUGUGGGAAGGCCCAGACAGCCAGGAUGUUGGCUUAGAAGCAGCCAUCAUUUAAAGAAAGCGUAAUAGCUCACUGGUCGAGUCGGCCUGCGCGGAAGAUGUAACGGGGCUAAACCAUGCACCGAAGCUGCGGCAGCGACACUGUGUGUUGUUGGGUAGGGGAGCGUUCUGUAAGCCUGUGAAGGUGUGCUGUGAGGCAUGCUGGAGGUAUCAGAAGUGCGAAUGCUGACAUAAGUAACGAUAAAGCGGGUGAAAAGCCCGCUCGCCGGAAGACCAAGGGUUCCUGUCCAACGUUAAUCGGGGCAGGGUGAGUCGACCCCUAAGGCGAGGCCGAAAGGCGUAGUCGAUGGGAAACAGGUUAAUAUUCCUGUACUUGGUGUUACUGCGAAGGGGGGACGGAGAAGGCUAUGUUGGCCGGGCGACGGUUGUCCCGGUUUAAGCGUGUAGGCUGGUUUUCCAGGCAAAUCCGGAAAAUCAAGGCUGAGGCGUGAUGACGAGGCACUACGGUGCUGAAGCAACAAAUGCCCUGCUUCCAGGAAAAGCCUCUAAGCAUCAGGUAACAUCAAAUCGUACCCCAAACCGACACAGGUGGUCAGGUAGAGAAUACCAAGGCGCUUGAGAGAACUCGGGUGAAGGAACUAGGCAAAAUGGUGCCGUAACUUCGGGAGAAGGCACGCUGAUAUGUAGGUGAAGUCCCUCGCGGAUGGAGCUGAAAUCAGUCGAAGAUACCAGCUGGCUGCAACUGUUUAUUAAAAACACAGCACUGUGCAAACACGAAAGUGGACGUAUACGGUGUGACGCCUGCCCGGUGCCGGAAGGUUAAUUGAUGGGGUCAGCGCAAGCGAAGCUCUUGAUCGAAGCCCCGGUAAACGGCGGCCGUAACUAUAACGGUCCUAAGGUAGCGAAAUUCCUUGUCGGGUAAGUUCCGACCUGCACGAAUGGCGUAAUGAUGGCCAGGCUGUCUCCACCCGAGACUCAGUGAAAUUGAACUCGCUGUGAAGAUGCAGUGUACCCGCGGCAAGACGGAAAGACCCCGUGAACCUUUACUAUAGCUUGACACUGAACAUUGAGCCUUGAUGUGUAGGAUAGGUGGGAGGCUUUGAAGUGUGGACGCCAGUCUGCAUGGAGCCGACCUUGAAAUACCACCCUUUAAUGUUUGAUGUUCUAACGUGGACCCGUGAUCCGGGUUGCGGACAGUGUCUGGUGGGUAGUUUGACUGGGGCGGUCUCCUCCUAAAGAGUAACGGAGGAGCACGAAGGUUGGCUAAUCCUGGUCGGACAUCAGGAGGUUAGUGCAAUGGCAUAAGCCAGCUUGACUGCGAGCGUGACGGCGCGAGCAGGUGCGAAAGCAGGUCAUAGUGAUCCGGUGGUUCUGAAUGGAAGGGCCAUCGCUCAACGGAUAAAAGGUACUCCGGGGAUAACAGGCUGAUACCGCCCAAGAGUUCAUAUCGACGGCGGUGUUUGGCACCUCGAUGUCGGCUCAUCACAUCCUGGGGCUGAAGUAGGUCCCAAGGGUAUGGCUGUUCGCCAUUUAAAGUGGUACGCGAGCUGGGUUUAGAACGUCGUGAGACAGUUCGGUCCCUAUCUGCCGUGGGCGCUGGAGAACUGAGGGGGGCUGCUCCUAGUACGAGAGGACCGGAGUGGACGCAUCACUGGUGUUCGGGUUGUCAUGCCAAUGGCACUGCCCGGUAGCUAAAUGCGGAAGAGAUAAGUGCUGAAAGCAUCUAAGCACGAAACUUGCCCCGAGAUGAGUUCUCCCUGACCCUUUAAGGGUCCUGAAGGAACGUUGAAGACGACGACGUUGAUAGGCCGGGUGUGUAAGCGCAGCGAUGCGUUGAGCUAACCGGUACUAAUGAACCGUGAGGCUUAACCUU